ACACUUCGCUUCUCUGUGAAAUGAUUCUAACAAGGUUGUACUAUUAAUUUCACUUAGUAUGCAUAGCAACUAUCACUAGAUGAGUAAGGAAGAGCCAUUUCAGAACCUGGAUGAACUGUGAAGAAAGACACCUUUGCUUUCAGUACAUCACAAUGAAAAUCAGAUUUGUGACACUCAUGGGUCAGGAAAAAGGUGCUCCCAAACAGAUGGGUAAAUAAAACAAGCUUCACAACACUUGGAUGGAGUGCUGAGGGUCUGGACAGACAUGGAGCUAUUCAUCAGUGCAAAGAACUUUAUGUCUGUGCACAGGGAGGUCAUGCUGAAUUGCUUCCUGCUAAUACUUAUGAAAGUUAAACUGAUACAACUGUUCCCUCACAAUUUUGGUGGCCACAGACAGAAAGUGAUUGUUACCCCAAUUAUGGGGGAGACCCUAUGCUAUUCAUACUUGUCAUUAACACAUAAUAAACAUGACAGGAACCACUGGAUACUAAGGAUACUAGUCUCUGUGUUAUUUUGGUCUUCCACAGGAAAAACAAACAAACAAACAACAACAACAACAAGAGCCCUCUCAAACUAGGGACACAGAUAAAAGCAGAGAUGUUUAAUGCUUUCUUU
RNAcentral lists this long non-coding RNA (615 nucleotides) under Anas platyrhynchos platyrhynchos (common mallard). Its description in RNAcentral is "lncRNA (ENSAPLG00000022019.1)". The record is from RNAcentral. Lineage: Eukaryota; Metazoa; Chordata; Aves; Anseriformes; Anatidae.